CAGCAUGCUAUCCUAAGGACCUGGGCUUGUGUUGUAGCUCGUGGUUCUCCAAGUGCAUGCAAGAAAAUGGGGUGGUCUUUGACUGUUGUGGCCUGUCUUUGCCAUCAGCAGCCACUCAACUGUCCUACAGAC
Small nucleolar RNA from Mugil cephalus (flathead mullet), 132 nucleotides. RefSeq annotates it as small nucleolar RNA SNORA44. The transcript has a single exon. The record is from RefSeq and is a predicted model, not a curated record. NCBI's taxonomy places the organism in Eukaryota, Metazoa, Chordata, Actinopteri, Mugiliformes, Mugilidae.